CGUGUAGGCGGGAAGGAAAGUCAGAUGUGAAAUCCCUGGGCUCAACCCAGGAACUGCAUUUGAAACUCCCUUUCUUGAGUACCGGAGAGGAAGGUGGAAUACCUGGUGUAGAGGUGAAAUUCGUAGAUAUCAGGUGGAACACCAGUGGCGAAGGCGGCCUUCUGGACGGUAACUGACGCUGAGACGCGAAAGCGUGGGGAGGCAAAACA
Molecule: ribosomal RNA, 209 nt
Filed under: uncultured bacterium
Lineage: Bacteria
Description: partial 16S ribosomal RNA
Rfam family: Bacterial small subunit ribosomal RNA
Source: RNAcentral